This is a non-coding RNA of Erythranthe guttata (spotted monkey flower), 1203 nucleotides long. NCBI's taxonomy places the organism in Eukaryota, Viridiplantae, Streptophyta, Magnoliopsida, Lamiales, Phrymaceae. The record is from RefSeq and is a predicted model, not a curated record.
CCUGUACCUAACAAGAACCCAUCGAAUUAUGGAGGAUUUCUCGGAGUCCGUACCAUGUUCUUCUCUCUCUCGCAGUCGAUUCCGUCUUACGUAUGAGCUCAGCUGGAUUUAUUUGGGGUUCUUGUUUUGGUCCAUUUGAUGCUAAGAGACUAGGUCUGUCAGGCAGUGCUCGUGCAUCGUUCAUUGCCAGGACGGUUGGCCAGUGCGGGUUUUCAUGUGGUAAUUUACUACAUAUGCAUAAUGAUUAUUUGCUGCAAUAUUUUCAUUUUCUCACUGUGGGCUAGAAAGGUAUCGACGGAAAAAAGACUGGGUUAGUGAAUGCCUCUUCGGUUUUUCAACUGCUUAUUUGUAAGGAUCACAUAUGUGAAAUUAUGUGAAAGAGAUCAAAUGAAGAUAUCUGAAUUUUGGUAAGAAUUUCCAAAGCAAAUCGACCCAUCUGUGUAAGACAUUGAUUGAGAACGAGGUUCUAGUAAAACUCGGAGGUCACAUAACUCUUUUCAACAGCAAUGUGUAUUAAAAUGAUUUACUUAUGCUAUUUCUGCUCUCGUUAUUGACAUAUCAUGACUUCAUGAAUGAUAAUUUUCAGGGCUUGUUUCGAAAAAUCUGAUUCGAAGAUUCAUAUUUUUCGAUUUGACAAAAAAAAAUGGCUGUAGGUUAAUACUUUGGCAGCGGGUGCUGUUGCUGGGGCAGCUUUUGGUGCUGGAACCCGGAAUUGGAAACAAGUUGCUUGUUUUACCGGUCUUUUUCUUUCGUUUUUUCAGUUGGCCAAGGAUUCUAGAUCUGUCUGAUGCACCACUUUUUGGAUAUUUUUUGCCGACCCUAAUGGUGAAUAGUUUGAGUAUAACAAGACUUUUUUCUAUCCUACAUCCAAACGAAGUUCAACGGGUAAUAUUCAGCCGUACACAUUUUACACACAUUCGCAUGUAUUUGUGUGUGGAUUUCCGUUGUCUUUUUCACCCGGUGUAGAAUCUACGAGACCUUAGAACAAAGGUCCACCGUCUUUAAUUUGAUGAAAUUGAAUAUUGUGGGGGUUAAUUAUAAAAUGAGGUAGUUGAUCUAUAAUUUUGAAUGUGAAUUGUGUAAUAAAUUGGAUUCAACCAACAUAGUUAAUGAACACACUGUAUGUAUAAUUUUGUGGACUAGUCUCAUCAUGGGACCUUGUGAUAUUUACAGUUUUGGUAUAUCUCGUUUGAUUUUGGUCAA